UGCCGUCUCUAUAAAAUCUCUUUUCGAUUAUCAGCAAAUUCCUUCAUCAUAGUCUCCAUCGGGUUUUGAUUACUUUGCUCCAUGAAAAUCGUAGUUUCAAGAUUCUUUAAGUCGUAUCAAUAGGAUUCAAUGUUUUUAUCGAUUUGGAAUCUGGGAUUCUCUGUUUCUAGUUGUCUUCUAGUUUUUGGGUUUGCGAAUUAUACUAUUGUAGAAUUAGAGUUCUCGAGGUGAUGAUGAUAACAUAUAAUCCCAGCUCUAUGAGACCUUUUGUGGUCAAGGAUUUUGUUUUGCCAUAUGAUCUCUUUGAAUGUAAGGAUUCCCUAUGAUGGUAAUAACCAUGCUAAUACUGAUGUCUUGUGACUGAAUCAAAGUUAUGUGUCUGAGGGAAUUUUUUGUUUGCAUUUUUUUGUUUCGUGAACUACAUGUGAUUGUCGAGGAG
This is a long non-coding RNA of Arabidopsis thaliana (thale cress), 439 nucleotides long. The record is from RefSeq. Lineage: Eukaryota; Viridiplantae; Streptophyta; Magnoliopsida; Brassicales; Brassicaceae.